Molecule: ribosomal RNA, 505 nt
Filed under: uncultured bacterium
Lineage: Bacteria
Description: bacterial SSU rRNA
Rfam family: Bacterial small subunit ribosomal RNA
Source: RNAcentral
ACGAACGCUGGCGGCGUGCCUAAUACAUGCAAGUCGAACGGUCUUUUCUAUGGAAGCUUGCUUCCACUGAGAAGAUAGUGGCGGACGGGUGAGUAACACGUGGGUAACCUGCCCAUAAGAGGGGGAUAACAUCCGGAAACGGGUGCUAAUACCGCAUAGUUUUCUUGAUCGCAUGAUUGAGAAAGGAAAGACGGCCUUUGUGCUGUCGCUUAUGGAUGGACCCGCGGCGUAUUAGUUAGUUGGUGAGGUAAUGGCUCACCAAGACGAUGAUACGUAGCCGACCUGAGAGGGUGAUCGGCCACAUUGGGACUGAGACACGGCCCAAACUCCUACGGGAGGCAGCAGUAGGGAAUCUUCCGCAAUGGACGAAAGUCUGACGGAGCAACGCCGCGUGAGUGAAGAAGGUUUUCGGAUCGUAAAACUCUGUUGUCAGAGAAGAACAAGUCGGAGAGUAACUGCUCCGGCCUUGACGGUAUCUGACCAGAAAGCCACGGCUAACUACGUG